RNAcentral lists this ribosomal RNA (470 nucleotides) under uncultured organism. RNAcentral's name for it is "partial 16S ribosomal RNA". It matches the Rfam family "Bacterial small subunit ribosomal RNA", at positions 331 to 797 of the family's 1533-position model. The record is from RNAcentral.
GUACACUCCUGCGGGAGGCAGCAGUGAGGAAUAUUGGACAAUGGGUGGAAGCCUGAUCCAGCCAUCCCGCGUGCAGGAAGACGGCCCUAUGGGUUGUAAACUGCUUUUAUCUGGGGAUAAACCUACUUACGUGUAAGUAGCUGAAGGUACCAGAAGAAUAAGCACCGGCUAACUCCGUGCCAGCAGCCGCGGUAAUACGGAGGGUGCAAGCGUUAUCCGGAUUUAUUGGGUUUAAAGGGUCCGUAGGCGGACUGAUAAGUCAGUGGUGAAAUCCGACAGCUUAACUGUCGAACUGCCAUUGAUACUGUUAGUCUUGAGUAAGGUUGAAGUGGCUGGAAUAAGUAGUGUAGCGGUGAAAUGCAUAGAUAUUACUUAGAACACCAAUUGCGAAGGCAGGUCACUAAGUCUUAACUGACGCUGAUGGACGAAAGCGUGGGGAGCGAACAGGAUUAGAAACCCGUGUAGUCCCA